RNAcentral lists this ribosomal RNA (436 nucleotides) under uncultured bacterium. RNAcentral's name for it is "partial 16S ribosomal RNA". It matches the Rfam family "Bacterial small subunit ribosomal RNA", at positions 29 to 507 of the family's 1533-position model. The record is from RNAcentral.
AGCGAACGCUGGCGGCAGGCUUAACACAUGCAAGUCGAGCGGGCAUCCUUGUGGUGUCAGCGGCAGACGGGUGAGUAACGCGUGGGAACGUGCCCUUCGGUUCGGAAUAACUCAGGGAAACUUGAGCUAAUACCGGAUACGCCCUUUUGGGGAAAGGUUUACUGCCGAAGGAUCGGCCCGCGUCUGAUUAGCUAGUUGGUGAGAUUAUGGCUCACCAAGGCGACGAUCAGUAGCUGGUCUGAGAGGAUGAUCAGCCACACUGGGACUGAGACACGGCCCAGACUCCUACGGGAGGCAGCAGUGGGGAAUAUUGGACAAUGGGGGCAACCCUGAUCCAGCCAUGCCGCGUGAGUGAUGACGGCCUUAGGGUUGUAAAGCUCUUUUCUCCGGGACGAUAAUGACGGUACCGGAGGAAUAAGCCCCGGCUAACUUCGUG